GAUGAACGCUAGCUACAGGCUUAACACAUGCAAGUCGAGGGGCAGCAUGGUCUUAGCUUGCUAAGGCCGAUGGCGACCGGCGCACGGGUGAGUAACGCGUAUCCAACCUGCCUUACACUCUUGGACAGCCUUCUGAAAGGGAGAUUAAUACAAGAUGUUAUCAUGAGUAAGCAUUUUCGCAUGAUUAAAGGUUUACCGGUGUAAGAUGGGGAUGCGUUCCAUUAGAUAGUAGGCGGGGUAACGGCCCACCUAGUCUUCGAUGGAUAGGGGUUCUGAGAGGAAGGUCCCCCACAUUGGAACUGAGACACGGUCCAAACUCCUACGGGAGGCAGCAGUGAGGAAUAUUGGUCAAUGGACGAGAGUCUGAACCAGCCAAGUAGCGUGAAGGAUGAAGGUUCUAUGGAUUGUAAACUUCUUUUAUACGGGAAUAAACGGAUCCACGUGUGGAUUUUUGCAUGUACCGUAUGAAUAAGGAUCGGUUAACUCCGUGCCAGCAGCCGCGGUAAUACGGAGGAUCCGAGCGUUAUCCGGAUUUAUUGGGUUUAAAGGGAGCGUAGAUGGGUUGUUAAGUCAGUUGUGAAAGUUUGCGGCUCAACCGUAAAAUUGCAAUUGAUACUGGCAGUCUUGAGUACAGUUGAGGUAGGCGGAAUUCGUGGUGUAGCGGUGAAAUGCUUAGAUAUCACGAAGAACUCCGAUUGCGAAGGCAGCUUACUAACCUGUAACUGACAUUGAUGCUCGAAAGUGUGGGUAUCAAACAGGAUUAGAUACCCUGGUAGUCCACACGGUAAACGAUGAAUACUCGCUGUAGGCGAUAUACAGUCUGCGGCCAAGCGAAAGCAUUAAGUAUUCCACCUGGGGAGUACGCCGGCAACGGUGAAACUCAAAGGAAUUGACGGGGGCCCGCACAAGCGGAGGAACAUGUGGUUUAAUUCGAUGAUACGCGAGGAACCUUACCCGGGCUUAAAUUGCAACCGAAUAUGGCGGAAACGCUAUAGCUAGCAAUAGCGGUUGUGAAGGUGCUGCAUGGUUGUCGUCAGCUCGUGCCGUGAGGUGUCGGCUUAAGUGCCAUAACGAGCGCAACCCUUGCCGAUAGUUACUAACAGGUCAUGCUGAGGACUCUGUCGGGACUGCCAUCGUAAGAUGUGAGGAAGGUGGGGAUGACGUCAAAUCAGCACGGCCCUUACGUCCGGGGCUACACACGUGUUACAAUGGGGGGUACAGAGGGCUGCUACCACGCAAGUGGAUGCCAAUCCCAAAAACCUCUCUCAGUUCGGAUUGAAGUCUGCAACCCGACUUCAUGAAGCUGGAUUCGCUAGUAAUCGCGCAUCAGCCACGGCGCGGUGAAUACGUUCCCGGGCCUUGUACACACCGCCCGUCAAGCCAUGGGAGCCGGGGGUACCUAAAGUGCGUAACCGCAAGGAGCGCCCUAGGGUAAAACUGG
This 1441-nucleotide ribosomal RNA is filed under the name uncultured organism. RNAcentral's name for it is "16S ribosomal RNA". It matches the Rfam family "Bacterial small subunit ribosomal RNA". The record is from RNAcentral.